This is a non-coding RNA of Triticum aestivum (bread wheat), 135 nucleotides long. The record is from Rfam. Lineage: Eukaryota; Viridiplantae; Streptophyta; Magnoliopsida; Poales; Poaceae.
UUUCUACUCCCUCCGUCUGAAAAUACUUGUCAUCAAAAUGGAUAAAAAGAGAUGUAUCUAAAACUAAAAUACGUCUAGAUACAUUUCCUUUUAUCCAUUUUGAUGACAAGUAUUUUCGGACGGAGGGAGUAUUUG